This is a long non-coding RNA of Balaenoptera musculus (blue whale), 1800 nucleotides long. RefSeq lists it as uncharacterized. Lineage: Eukaryota; Metazoa; Chordata; Mammalia; Artiodactyla; Balaenopteridae. The transcript is spliced from 6 exons. The record is from RefSeq and is a predicted model, not a curated record.
AAGAACAGGACAGGACAGUAAGAUACAGGCAGUGAGGGCCGGCGCCCCGACGCUUCUAAACUCGGGUGGGAUGAGCGCCAGCUCAGAGCCUACGGUGUGUUUCUUUUUUUCCCAUUUAUAAGCGCAAGAGAAGAUUUUUCAUAGCUGGCACACACAAAAGUUCAUAUUUGGCAUUUCACGUAUAAGUAAGUCCUCUGCUCUCCCCUCAAUAUGUUUAUGAAAAAGACUGGAUGUAUUUAAAAAAUAACUAACAGAGAGAGCUGGGUGAGCAGCGUGAGAAAGAUGAGGGGAAGAGCCCUGUUUCCCCUCGUUCUUUCCCACACUGCCCACUCGGCAGCUCUGCCUGCCUGUUGCUCAGCGAAGAGCACAGGUCACCCCCCACCCCUGUGAUGUAGCAGGUGGUUCUUUCCCGGACUGGAAUGGGAAGGGAUGACGUCAAGGUUGGAAAAACUGGGAAGGACUCAUUUCCGAGCACGUGAGAUUUCCCCUCCUCUCUACGAGUCUUAGAUUUCUUGACACCACAAGCCCAGCCCUCUCAAGUGUUAUACACACACAAACAUACACCUGUGUGGUUGCAGCCUCCCUAUUUGUGAAUUUGCCUUCGUGCUAAAACUUCUCUGUAACUCCCAGGUCAGGACUCACUCAUGGCACUGCCACGGCCAUUCGGACAUGCAGAGUGGGGGGAAAGCUGAGGCAACCAAGGCACCACUCUGCCUUCUUGUGGCAACUCUCAGGCUGUAAACAAGCGUCCUUUUCAGAAUCUAUUUGGUGCCAUGUAGUUUGCAUUUCUGUGACUUCGCUCUUUACACGUUCCCUCACCGGCGUGCCGAAGGGCUGUCUAGUGUCCCUAAGUGCAGGAAGGCUGCAAGGGGCCUUACGGAGAAAACACGUGUGUUAAAACUUCAUUCAGGUUUGCGUGUCAGUGCUGUUCAUGGAUCGGCAAUAUACCCUCAAUAAGAUGUCUUUAAACAGAAGCAAACUGAUUCUUUCCACAGAAUCCAAAUUGCAUCACCUACCAUGGAUGCCAAGACCACCACCUCGUACUUCCUGCAAUCUAGACAUGGGGGCUGGGCACCUGCGGCCCAGGCUGGACCCCCCAGACCAGUUACAUCGGAGUAGCUGGGGGCUGGGCCCCAGCGUCAGGAUAUGAUACUGCUCCAGCGUGCCUGCACCCCGAGCCUGGAUAGACACGCCGAGCAGCCAGUAUCUCGGAAAUGCUUCUGGACUGAAGCUCCACUUGGAAAACCACUGUCCUUCCGCACAGAGAGCGCGGCCCGUGGUGUCUCUCACUGUACCCAGCUCACCUCUGCAGGCACCUCGUCCGUUCGGCGGCUGCUCUUUCUGCCGUGAAUGCCUAGUUGUUUCUGCCAAGAACAGGAUUUCCUACCAUCCUGGCCAGAAGCACUACUGAAACUGCCUUUCUCCCUCAACAGGGAAGUCGGGACAGGAGGCGCCCUGGCCCCUUCUGUGGCCUCUCAAAAUGAACCGACCUUAGCUGCCGAGGCCAACAGCGAUGCAGGUGACAACCUUUGGCCGCCCGCUGGAACCACCUGGUGAGCUUUACAGACAACAGCUAACUGCAUCCUAUCCCCAGAGGUCAUGACUUAAUUAGCCUGGGGUGAGACAUGGACAUGGGGAUUUUUUAAAAAGAUUGCUGGAAGUUUGAGAGCCACUCCUCAAGAUCACCAGCUAAUUAAACUAACACACCUUCCCCAGGCUCAGUCAUGGUGAGCACACUGCAGUCUUCCUGUGAACCCGCCUGGGGUGCUGGCACUUUCAAUACAUCUUCCAAGGAAGCAG